AGCUCCAAUAGCGUAUAUUAAAGUUGUUGCAGUUAAAAAGCUCGUAGUUGGAUUUGUGGUUGUUGCGUGCGCCCCGGCACUUGAUUGUGUUGUGGGUUUUGCGUGCAACUCCAUCCUUGGGUGGAACCUGUGUGGCAUUCAGUUGUCGUGCAGGGGAUGCCCAUCGUUUACUGUGAAAAAAUUAGAGUGUUCAAAGCAGGCUUAUGCCGUUGAAUAUAUUAGCAUGGAAUAAUGAGAUAGGACCUUGGUACUAUUUUGUUGGUUUGCGCACCUUGGUAAUGAUUAAUAGGGGUAGUUGGGGGUAUUCGUAUUCCAUUGUCAGAGGUGAAAUUCUUGGAUUUUUGGAAGACGAACUAGUGCGAAAGCAUUUACCAAGGAUGUUUUCAUUAAUCAAGAACGA
Molecule: ribosomal RNA, 400 nt
Filed under: phytoplankton environmental sample
Lineage: Eukaryota
Description: partial small subunit ribosomal RNA
Rfam family: Eukaryotic small subunit ribosomal RNA
Source: RNAcentral